GACUCCUACGGGAGGCAGCAGUGGGGAAAUUGGACAAUGGGCGAAAGCCUGAUCAGCGAUGCCGCGUGAGUGAAGAAGGCCUUAGGGUCGUAAAACUCUUUCGCCAGAGAUGAUAAUGACAGUAUCUGGAAAAGAAGCCCCGGCUAACUCCGUGCCAGCAGCCGCGGUAAUACUGAGGGAGCGAGCGUUAAUCGGAAUUACUGGGCGUAAAGCGCGCGUAAGCGGCUUUGUAAGUCGGAUGUGAAAGCCCUGGGCUCAACCUGGGAAUGGCAUUCGAAACUGCAUGGCUAGAGUAUGGUAGAGGGAAGUGGAAUUUCCGGUGUAGCGGUGAAAUGCGUGAUAUCGGAAGGAACACCAGUGGCGAAGGCGACUUCCUGGGCCAAUACUGACGCUGAGGCGCGAAAGCGUGGGUAGCAAACAGGAUUAAAUACCCUGGUAGUCCACGCCGUAAACGAUGAUAACUAUAUGUCGGGGGAAUUUGUCCUUCAGUGUCGCAGCUAACGCGUUAAGUUCUCCGCCUGGAGAGUACUCCGGCAACGGUAAGACUCAAAGGAAUUGACGGGGGCCCGCACAAGAGAU
Molecule: ribosomal RNA, 579 nt
Filed under: uncultured bacterium
Lineage: Bacteria
Description: bacterial SSU rRNA
Rfam family: Bacterial small subunit ribosomal RNA
Source: RNAcentral